This 23-nucleotide non-coding RNA is filed under the name Arabidopsis thaliana (thale cress). Lineage: Eukaryota; Viridiplantae; Streptophyta; Magnoliopsida; Brassicales; Brassicaceae. The record is from RNAcentral.
GAGUACUGUUGGACGGUCUCAGG